UAAGGAAUAUUGGUCAAUGGACGCAAGUCUGAACCAGCCAUGCCGCGUGGAGGAUUAAGGCCCUCUGGGUUGUAAACUCCUUUUAUCUGGGAAGAAAUGUACUUUUUCUUGAGUACUUGACGGUACCAGAGGAAUAAGCACCGGCUAACUCCGUGCCAGCAGCCGCGGUAAUACGGAGGGUGCAAGCGUUAUCCGGAUUCACUGGGUUUAAAGGGUGCGUAGGUGGGCAGGUAAGUCAGUGGUGAAAUCUCCGGGCUUAACCCGGAAACUGCCGUUGAUACUAUUUGUCUUGAAUAUUGUGGAGGUAAGCGGAAUAUGUCAUGUAGCGGUGAAAUGCUUAGAUAUGACAUAGAACACCAAUUGCGAAGGCAGCUUGCUACACAAUCAUUGACGCUGAGGCACGAAAGCGUGGGGAUCAAACA
This 422-nucleotide ribosomal RNA is filed under the name uncultured bacterium. Its description in RNAcentral is "bacterial SSU rRNA". It matches the Rfam family "Bacterial small subunit ribosomal RNA", at positions 355 to 774 of the family's 1533-position model. The record is from RNAcentral.